GGCUGCCUUCUCAAGCAUGUCAGAGAGGAGGAUUUAUUACCCAUGGCACUGCUGUCAUUGGGGAUGCAGGUCAGAGUUGUGGUUGUCAUUCUCCGUGUGACCUGCUAUCGUUGGCACCUGGUGCAUGGACCAGAGAAUGAGCAGGCUCUGCAGAGAAGAGAGCCUAGAUCCUGGGACCAGAAGACCUUGGCAUAACAGCCCAUUCUCAGGGCUGAUGUCUGCCAUAGCUGGACUGGUGUGGCCACAAGCCAAGGAAUGUUUGAAACUAUCAGAAGCUGGAAGAGGCAGCGAAGGAUUCUCCCUCAGAGGCUUCAGGAGGAGCAUGGCCUGUGGACACCUUGAUUCUGGAUUUCUGGCCUCCAGAACUGAGAGAGUAAAUUUCUGUCAUUUUAAGCCACCAUGUUUCUAUAUUUGGGGAUAUAGAAAAAUAUUGCUCUUCUAUGUCGAGAAUAUAGAGAAUUUUUCUUCUAUAAAGAAAAAUUUGGCUCUUCUAUAAAGUUGAUACAUUGGUUUUCUCUUCUGGCUUGAAAACUUGGUUUUAAGAUAAUUCCCAUUAGAAAAAAAUUUCAGAACUAAUUUUAGUGAUAGUGUUAU
This 594-nucleotide long non-coding RNA is filed under the name Callithrix jacchus (white-tufted-ear marmoset). Its description in RNAcentral is "lncRNA (ENSCJAG00000077620.1)". The record is from RNAcentral. Lineage: Eukaryota; Metazoa; Chordata; Mammalia; Primates; Cebidae.